This 579-nucleotide long non-coding RNA is filed under the name Homo sapiens (human). RNAcentral describes it as "HSALNT0387643". The record is from RNAcentral. Lineage: Eukaryota; Metazoa; Chordata; Mammalia; Primates; Hominidae.
AGCCAGUGCCCUACACUAUACAAGAUGCCACUGUAGGGACAGGGAUGACCUCUAGCAAGGUGACCCUCAGUGGGCCAGAGGGGGCUUCUGAAGAGAAUUUCUCUAGCUUCUUGGUGUUUCCUGCCUGCUACUUUCAAACAAGGGUCCCAUUUUUAAUGUUUUCCCAGUAAUACCUUAUGAAUGUUAUUGCAAAGGUAAAGGAAAUUAUAUUUUUGCUCUUAUUGUUGUUCACUCUACUCCCAUUUAGCAAUUAACAUUGAAAGCGGGCUAAAUCAACACCACAGGCCCCGUGAUCAAUAUAUGUGAUGAGGACAUUACAUCCUGGUGUUGUUGCCCCAAGUCUUGACGUGAAUCUGACCACAAGGACAAUUCGGACAACCUGAAAUGGUGACGCAUUCUACAAAAUAAACAUCAAUGUCAUGAAAGACAAAGACUCAAGAUUUUCUGCUUAAUGGAGACUAAAGAGAUGCGACAACAGAAUGCCAGGCAUGAUCUUGGAUAUUCUUUUGGCUCAAACAGUCUUAGGACAAUUGAAAAAACGUGAAUGAGGUCUGUAGCUAAUAGAAUUGUGUCAAUGCC